UACGAAGGGGGCUAGCGUUGUUCGGAAUCACUGGGCGUAAAGCGCACGUAGGCGGAUUCUUAAGUCAGGGGUGAAAUCCCGAGGCUCAACCUCGGAACUGCCUUUGAUACUGGGGAUCUUGAGUCCGGGAGAGGUGAGUGGAACUGCGAGUGUAGAGGUGAAAUUCGUAGAUAUUCGCAAGAACACCAGUGGCGAAGGCGGCUCACUGGCCCGGAACUGACGCUGAGGUGCGAAAGCGUGGGGAGCAAACAGG
Molecule: ribosomal RNA, 253 nt
Filed under: uncultured bacterium
Lineage: Bacteria
Description: partial 16S ribosomal RNA
Rfam family: Bacterial small subunit ribosomal RNA
Source: RNAcentral